This 253-nucleotide ribosomal RNA is filed under the name uncultured bacterium. RNAcentral describes it as "partial 16S ribosomal RNA". It matches the Rfam family "Bacterial small subunit ribosomal RNA", at positions 524 to 776 of the family's 1533-position model. The record is from RNAcentral.
UACGAAGGGGGCUAGCGUUGCUCGGAAUCACUGGGCGUAAAGGGUGCGUAGGCGGGUCUUUAAGUCAGGGGUGAAAUCCUGGAGCUCAACUCCAGAACUGCCUUCGAUACUGGCGAUCUUGAGUCCGGAAGAGGUGAGUGGAACUCCUAGUGUAGAGGUGGAAUUCGUAGAUAUUAGGAAGAACACCAGUGGCGAAGGCGGCUCACUGGUCCGGUACUGACGCUGAGGUGCGAAAGCGUGGGGAGCAAACAGG